GGUUGAUCCUGCCGGAGGUCACUGCUAUCGGGGUUCGAUUAAGCCAUGCGAGUCGAGAGGGUUCAGACCCUCGGCGGACUGCUCAGUAACACGUGGAUAACCUGCCCUAAGGUGGAGCAUAACCCCGGGAAACUGGGGAUAAUACUCCAUAGGAUAUGGAUACUGGAAUGUUCUAUAACCGAAAGUUCCGGCGCCUUAGGAUGGAUCUGCGGCCGAUUAGGUUGUUGUUGGGGUAACGGCCCAACAAGCCCGUAAUCGGUACGGGUUGUGGGAGCAAGAGCCCGGAGAUGGACUCUGAGACACGAGUCCAGGCCCUACGGGGCGCAGCAGGCGCGAAAACUUUACAAUGCAGGAAACUGUGAUAAGGGAACCCCGAGUGCCCGUAUACGCGGGCUGUUCG
This 400-nucleotide ribosomal RNA is filed under the name uncultured archaeon. RNAcentral's name for it is "bacterial SSU rRNA". It matches the Rfam family "Archaeal small subunit ribosomal RNA", at positions 6 to 413 of the family's 1478-position model. The record is from RNAcentral.